This 1472-nucleotide long non-coding RNA is filed under the name Triticum aestivum (bread wheat). RNAcentral's name for it is "long non-coding RNA (TAES_LNC027220)". The record is from RNAcentral. Lineage: Eukaryota; Viridiplantae; Streptophyta; Magnoliopsida; Poales; Poaceae.
UGGUUGCUCUGGCAAGAAGGAGGGGUCGUCAACUCCGUAGUCGAACUGGGCAGCAGCAGCGUCGGUCUCGUAGUCUACCGGAGAGAAGAGGGGGAAGAAAUAGUAAAUACAAUUCAAAGAUAAGCAUGAAGAUGCAUGACAUGACAAUGAGCGGUGUUAGGUGUGCCCUAACGCGGUAGUAGGUGAUAUCGGCGAAAGGGCGAAACAUCCGGGAAAGUAUUCUCGGUGUUUCGCGUUUUUGGAUAGAUGAACUGGAGGGGAAAAGUUGCGUGUUUACUAUGCUAGGGAUGUGUGGCAGACGAAUAGGCUGCGUAUUCGAAUUCGUCUUGGUUUUCUAAGCAACUUUCAUGUACAAAGUAUUUUUAUCCGAGAUACGGUUUAUUUUAUAUGAUUUUCUAAAGUUUUAACAAUAUUCUAGAAUUUCUAGAUUUAUUAUUAUUUCGAAAAUAAAAUAGUAAAAUUACUCUUGCCAACUAGUGUAGUGCCAGCCACAUUCAAUGACAUGUGGGGGUCGGUCAAAGUCAACAGCAUAGUCGGUGUUGACCGGGUCAGACAGUGAAUAGUGCAUGGGUCCCGCGUGUCAUAGACUUAAGCAUUUUUAACUUGUCUGAUCAUUUUAAUUUACAGUAGGGUCCACCUGUCAUAGGGUCUAGACUAACUAAUCAGUUAAACCAAAAUAAACUAAACAGGAGGGUAUUAUGGGCUAAUAGGGGAUUAGCCCCUUAAUUGGGUUGGUCGGGGGCCGCUGGUAGAGGCACAAAGGCCAGCCCCAGCGUGGCUGUGCGCAGGCGCGCACGAAGGCCGGGCGCCGUGAGCGGCCAGACCCGGAGAUGCGCCGGUGGCCAGGACCAGCAGGCCACGCGGCCGGCCGGGCGAGCGGGUGCCGCGGCCGACAGGAGCUGCUCCAAGCCACGGCAAGCAGGGGGGCGGCAAGAAGCCGCCGCGGCUGCUAGCGUAGCGAGCAGGAGCGAUUAGCAGAAGCAAAGGAAAGCAGUACGCGCCAAGAGCAGCAACAGCGGGAGGGACAACGCGUGCGUGCGCACGGCUGAAACUCGAGCGCGUCCAUGGGCGAGCGAGACGGCGAUGCUACGGCAGUUUCAGUCGCAACGGCGACGACAGCUACGGAGCGGCAGUGAGGGUGCUCGAGCUCGAAUCCGAGCUCGGGAAUAAAAGGGGAAGUGGCGGAGCUCACAUCAGAGCUCAAGGAGGACUCGGGGAUGCCGGAGCUGCUCGAAGAUGGGCGAAUCGAAGACGAACAGAAGCGGUUGUCGACGGAGGGGAUCGACGGAUGCGGCGCCGUCUUGUCGAUCCGGCUCUAGGCAGUCCACUGCGGGGUUGAGGACGAUGGUCUGCGUCUUCUGGAUACGAAGGCUUGACCGGGGAAUGGUCGAGGCCAUGGCAACGGCAAUGGCAACGACACGGCGACGGCAACAGGCGGACGAGCUUGGGAGGGAGAGAGAGCGUGGGGGUGG